AGUGAACGCUGGCGGUAGGCCUAACACAUGCAAGUCGAACGGCAGCACAGUAAGAGCUUGCUCUUACGGGUGGCGAGUGGCGGACGGGUGAGGAAUACAUCGGAAUCUACUUUUUCGUGGGGGAUAACGUAGGGAAACUUACGCUAAUACCGCAUACGACCUACGGGUGAAAGCAGGGGAUCUUCGGACCUUGCGCGAUUGAAUGAGCCGAUGUCGGAUUAGCUAGUUGGCGGGGUAAAGGCCCACCAAGGCGACGAUCCGUAGCUGAUCUGAGAGGAUGAUCAGCCACACUGGAACUGAGACACGGUCCAGACUCCUACGGGAGGCAGCAGUGGGGAAUAUUGGACAAUGGGCGCAAGCCUGAUCCAGCCGUACCGCGUGGGUGAAGAAGGCCUUCGGGUUGUAAAGCCCUUUUGUUGGGAAAGAAAAGCAGCAGGUUAAUACCCCGCUGUUCUGACGGUACCCAAAGAAUAAGCACCGGCUAACUUCGUG
Molecule: ribosomal RNA, 492 nt
Filed under: uncultured bacterium
Lineage: Bacteria
Description: partial 16S ribosomal RNA
Rfam family: Bacterial small subunit ribosomal RNA
Source: RNAcentral